AAUUCUCAACCUUUUCAGCUUUCUUUGUUGAUCAGGCUUGGAUAUGGGAGUAUGCGGGCUUCUCAGAAGUCGGCUCUCCUGAAAUGCAUUAGCGGGACCUUUUGUUGCCUGGCUUUGGUGUGAUAAUUAUCUACGCCAUUGUGGUCAAGCAGCUUAAAAAUGAGGUUUCAGCUUCUAACCGUCUCCCCUGAGACAACUUUUUGACA
This 206-nucleotide unclassified non-coding RNA is filed under the name uncultured Tricholoma. RNAcentral describes it as "sequence contains ITS2". Lineage: Eukaryota; Fungi; Basidiomycota; Agaricomycetes; Agaricales; Tricholomataceae. The record is from RNAcentral.